RNAcentral lists this ribosomal RNA (310 nucleotides) under Pedioplanis burchelli. RNAcentral's name for it is "partial 12S ribosomal RNA". It matches the Rfam family "Bacterial small subunit ribosomal RNA", at positions 869 to 1344 of the family's 1533-position model. The record is from RNAcentral. Lineage: Eukaryota; Metazoa; Chordata; Lepidosauria; Squamata; Lacertidae.
CCGCCAGAGAACUACAAGUGAAAAACUUAAAACUCAAAGGACUUGGCGGUAUCCCACAUCGNCCUAGAGGAGCCUGUCCUUUAAUCGAUACUCCCCGUUCUACCUUACCUCAACUAGCCCAACCAGCCUAUAUACCGCCGUCGACAGUCUACCCCAUGAGGGUUCAACAGUAGACAUAAUAGCCCCCCUUGCUAGCACGUCAGGUCAAGGUGUAGCAAAUGCUGAGGUAGAGAUUGGCUACAUUUUUAAUUCUUAAAAAUAACGGAAUGUACCAUGAAACAGUACAUGAAGGUGAAUUUAGCAGUAAGAC